UACACAAUGUGUUUUUCAGCGACUCUGGUUGGAGUUGAACAUCUAGCUUGUGGCAAUAUGUCUUCAUCGUUUUUCCACCAUUCCAUCUACAGUAACUUCCACUGGCAUGCAAUUUUAGAGUAAUUUCGGAGAAAUAUUAAAUGGAAAGAGUAAAUAGUACAUGUUUUUGUCUUGGUGAUGAUGCUCACCUGUUAGUUUGAGGAACACGUUAAAUUAGUAAAAACUUUUUCUUUGGAUCUGGCAAUGGAACGGGGCUGCUAGGAGAAGAGACGAAUACGUAUGUGUAUCAUGUUGUGCGCUGCAAUGCAAUCUCACGAAUGAUUUUCGAGCGGGUUUCAAGAACUUGUAACAAAUUUGGUGUUUUCAAGCGCCCUUGAAUUUAGAUUUUCAAUUUAAGUACUUUUCAAGGAGUUGUAUGUGCCAUUUGGAGAGGAUGAGCACAGAAUCUAAAGUCCGAAGCAUAUAGGAGGUGAAAGGUGCUUGCUCUAAAGACUAUUAUAAUACACCACCCAAGCACAGCAGACUCUAAAUUCGGGCUAAUUCUUGCCUCGAAACAGGUCUGUCUGUCUGUCUGUCUG
Non-coding RNA from Paramuricea clavata, 578 nucleotides. The record is from the annotation of a GenBank genome assembly. NCBI's taxonomy places the organism in Eukaryota, Metazoa, Cnidaria, Anthozoa, Malacalcyonacea, Plexauridae.